CCCGCCCCAGAGGCUGAACUGCUCCUAUUGGCUUGGCAUAGCAGUUGCGCGGCACUGGAAAGCAACUGGCAGCACAGGUGCUGUGUCCAAACUCUGAUCACCUUCAACUGCACGACAAGCUUACCUUGCAGAUCCCAAGUGCGCCAAAACAUCCUGAAAAUCAGCCCUGCACCCACUCCCCGGAUGCUGCCCCACAAUGAGCC
Long non-coding RNA from Fukomys damarensis (Damara mole-rat), 203 nucleotides. RefSeq lists it as uncharacterized. The record is from RefSeq and is a predicted model, not a curated record. Lineage: Eukaryota; Metazoa; Chordata; Mammalia; Rodentia; Bathyergidae. The transcript has 3 exons.